RNAcentral lists this ribosomal RNA (719 nucleotides) under uncultured delta proteobacterium. Its description in RNAcentral is "bacterial SSU rRNA". It matches the Rfam family "Bacterial small subunit ribosomal RNA", at positions 73 to 791 of the family's 1533-position model. Lineage: Bacteria; Deltaproteobacteria. The record is from RNAcentral.
CUAUCUUCGGAAUAGUAUUAACUGGCGAACGGGUGAGUACACGUAGGUAACCUGCCCUAGAGAUUGGGACAACUUCGGGAAACCGGAGCUAAUACCGAAUAAUGCAGCGGAUCCUUCGGGGUACAGUUGUUAAAGCGGGCUUCGGCUCGCGCUUUAGGAUGGGCCUGCGUCCGAUUAGCUUGUUGGUGGGGUAAUAGCUUACCAAGGCCAUGAUCGGUAGCUGGUCUGAGAGGAUGAUCAGCCACACUGGGAUUGAGAUACGGCCCAGACCUCUACGGGGGGCAGCAGUAGGGAAUUUUGCGCAAUGGGCGAAAGCCUGACGCAGCAACGCCGCGUGAUCGAUGAAGCUUCUAGGAGCGUAAAGAUCUGUCGUGAGGGAAGAAAAAUUCAGAGGUAAAUAAUUUUUGUUUUUGACGGUACCUUACAAGAAAGCACCGGCUAACUUCGUGCCAGCAGCCGCGGUAAUACGAGGGGUGCUAGCGUUGUCCGGAAUCAUCGGGCGUAAAGGGUCCGUAGGCGGUUUAACAAGUCACUUGUCACAGACAUCGGCUUAACCGAUGGAAUGCAGUUGAAACUGUUAGAAUAGAGUUUACGAGAGGAAAGUGGAAUUCCUGGUGUAGCGGUGACAUGCGUAGAUUUCCCAGGGACACCAAUGGGGAAAGCACUUUCUGGCUAAAUGGAGCUGGGGACAAACGUGGGAGCAACGGAUUAUUCCCGGU